CAUUGAUGUCUAGCCCCUGGCCAAAACACGCUUUGCUGAUAAACAAAACGUGUUCAUAAUCAAUAAGUGCUCUCAAUCAAACUAAAAUCAAAGAUUUCACACGCAAAAGCACUAUCUAUAUACACAUAUGCUGUUAAAACAGCUUCGCUGCUCGAUCCCACUUCAAACAUUCGCUGCGCGCCGACUGCGGCAUUACUUCCGUAACAUGGAUUGUCCGGAUUUGAGACCUCCGACAUGUGUCCGUGGGAUGAAGGUUCUCGAUCGGAAUGCGUUCAAUAUGCAUAUCACCGUUCCUCAACUGGUAGUGCCAUCAAGUUUGAAUUUUAAUGGGAUCUGUGCAGCGGUUAAAAAAGUUCUCUUGAAGAUGGAACGAUACAAACCAGUAGAGUCAAAUGGAUCCAGUAUAACGUUGCACCCCCUCGCAGUGAGGAAGUGGGAGGACCUAGAAAGUUUCAAUCUAGGAGAAAAAGGUCUAGAUCAAUCCAAUCUGUUGUGGAGAGAAAUAGCGAUUGGAUAUGAAAACUGGAAAUAUGACGAAAUAUUAAAAGCAAUUUUGCCAGAGGAACAAGAAGGAUUGUCUGCAUUUUCUAAAGUUGGCCACAUAGUUCACUUAAAUUUGAAGGAACAUCUGCUGCCCUAUAAGAUGCUGAUUGGGGAUGUUAUAAAAGACAAAAUUCCCGGAUGCAAAACGGUUGUGAAUAAGCUGCUGACAAUCGAUAACACUUUUCGAAAUUUCCAAAUGGAAUUGUUAGCUGGAGAGGAAGAUUACCAAGUUUUGGUUAAGGAAAAUGGAGUUAGUUAUGAAUUUGAUUUUUCCAAGGUCUAUUGGAAUCCUAGACUAUCUACCGAACACGAGAAAAUCGUAAAAAUGUUGAACAAGAAUGACAUUCUUUUUGACAUCUACGCCGGAGUAGGUCCAUUCUCUGUCCCUGCUGCUAAAAAAGGGUGCACGGUGUUUGCCAAUGAUCUCAACCCGCACUCAUUCAAAGCAUUGACACACAAUUGCAAAAAGAAUAAAGUCGAAUCGCGAGUGAAGUGUUUUAACAAAAACGGAAUUAAUUUUAUCCAGGAAGAAGUUUGCGCAUCACUCAUUUCUAUCAAUAAAGAUGAGAAUUUCAAUGGAACUGUCCACAUUACAAUGAAUCUUCCCGCCCUGGCGGUAGAACACUUGAAUACUUAUAUUGGUCUUCUAAGCGAAAAAUUAUCGAAAAUUUCUCAUUUUCCAUUGAUUCACGUGUAUUGUUUCGCAAAAGGAACGGAGGACAAAAAACAAAUUGCGCGUGAAGCGGUCGAGCAGCAUAUGAGUAUUCCUCUUGGGGAAAAUUUGAAAGAAAUCAGUUUUGUACGAAACGUAUCACCAAACAAAGAUAUGAUGAGAGUGACAUUUUAUUUAACCGAAGAAAUCUUGCUCUCGAAUACAGCUGGUUUGAAACGGCCUAUAAUACAGGAUUGCCAACAAUCCGUAAAACGUCAAUGCACUGAAAAUGGGCAAAAACAACAAGAAGAAUCGCAAUCAACAGAAGCAAGUGGCCAAAAAAGCUAAAAAUGUAUUUGCCGUGUCACAAGCGAAGAAAAACAACGUUAAGAAAGCAAAGGAAAUUACAUCAAAACUGAAAAAGAUAAACGUUAAAGACAAACGAGAGGCGGCUGAUAAAUCCUUCCAGGAACUACACGCUCAUAUAGUUUCUAAAAAAUCUAGCAAAAAACCAGCUCCAAAGGGACUUCCGCAGAAAAAGAAACCCAAUGCAAACACCGCACAAGUCGAAAAAGACUUGGAUAAAAUGCAAGUGUAGCAAUAGUUACUCUUUCUAUGCUUCUUCGCGAGGUUGGUUUAAAUAGUUGAUUUAUUACAAAUGAAAA
Molecule: RNA transcript, 1860 nt
Organism: Toxorhynchites rutilus septentrionalis
Lineage: Eukaryota; Metazoa; Arthropoda; Insecta; Diptera; Culicidae
Gene name: tRNA (guanine(37)-N1)-methyltransferase
Exons: 4
Source: RefSeq, a predicted model, not a curated record